AACGAACGCUGGCGGCAUGCCUAACACAUGCAAGUCGAACGAUACCUUCGGGUCUUGUGGCGCACGGUUACUUAACGCGUGGGAACCUGCCCUUAGGUUCGGAAUAACUCCCCGAAAGGUGUGCUCAUACCGUAUAAUGUCUUCGGACCAAAGAUUUAUCGCCUUUGGAUGGGCCCGCGUUGGAUUAGCUAGUUGGUAGGGUAAAGCCUACCAAGGCGACGAUCCAUAGCUGGUCUGAGAGGAUGAUCAGCCACAAUGGGACUGAGACACGGCCCAGACUCCGACGGGAGGCAGCAGUGGGGAAUAUUGGACAAUGGGCGAAAGCCUGAUCCAGCAAUGCCGGGGGAGAGAUGAAGGGCGUAGGGUUGUAAAGCUAUUUGACAAGGGAUGAUAAUGACAGUACCGGGAGAAUAAGCUCCGGCUAACUACGUG
Molecule: ribosomal RNA, 432 nt
Filed under: uncultured bacterium
Lineage: Bacteria
Description: partial 16S ribosomal RNA
Rfam family: Bacterial small subunit ribosomal RNA
Source: RNAcentral